GAUGAACGCUGGCGGCGUGCCUAAUACAUGCAAGUCGAGCGAACGGACGAGAAGCUUGCUUCUCUGAUGUUAGCGGCGGACGGGUGAGUAACACGUGGAAAACCUACCUAUAAGACUGGGAUAACUUCGGGAAACCGUAGCUAAUACCGGAUAAUAUUUUGAACCGCAUGGUUCAAAAGUGAAAGACGGUCUUGCUGUCACUAAUAGAUGGAUCCGCGCUGCAUUAGCUAGUUGGUAAGGUAACGGCUUACGAAGGCAACGAUGCAUAGCCGACGUGAGAGAGGGGUAGCCCGCACUGGAACUUGGCCACGGUCCAGGCGACUGCGGGACGGACCAGUAGGCAACGGUACGCAGAAGUGGGAAGCAUUACACAGUGGGGCGGAGCCAGAUGUAGCAGUCUUCCGUUCGUGAUGAUCUGUUUUGAGUUAUGAACAUAUGUCUACGUAGCUGAGCACAGAGUGACGGUAACGAGUAAGAAAGCCCCGGCUAACUACGUG
This 497-nucleotide ribosomal RNA is filed under the name uncultured bacterium. RNAcentral describes it as "partial 16S ribosomal RNA". It matches the Rfam family "Bacterial small subunit ribosomal RNA", at positions 28 to 507 of the family's 1533-position model. The record is from RNAcentral.